This 94-nucleotide ribosomal RNA is filed under the name Escherichia coli. RNAcentral's name for it is "partial 16S ribosomal RNA". It matches the Rfam family "Bacterial small subunit ribosomal RNA", at positions 1 to 90 of the family's 1533-position model. The record is from RNAcentral. Lineage: Bacteria; Pseudomonadati; Pseudomonadota; Gammaproteobacteria; Enterobacterales; Enterobacteriaceae.
AAAUUGAAGGGUUUGAUCAUGGCUCAGAUUGAACGCUGGCGGCAGGCCUAACACAUGCAAGUCGAACGGUAACAGAAAGCAGCUUGCUGCUUUG